RNAcentral lists this ribosomal RNA (440 nucleotides) under Euhadra peliomphala. Its description in RNAcentral is "partial 16S ribosomal RNA". The record is from RNAcentral. Lineage: Eukaryota; Metazoa; Mollusca; Gastropoda; Stylommatophora; Camaenidae.
CGAAGUGGUUUGAGCUAGAUAUAACUGUAAUAUUAGUAUUUUGUGUAUGGUGUGGCAAAAUGAUAUCAAAAGUUAUGUGUAGGGGUGAUAGGCCUAUCAAAAACCAGGAUAGCUUGAUUCUAAUGAAAGGUAUUUAGUACAAUAUUAUACAUUUAUUAAGUGGCGAGGCUUAUUAAAAAUAUAAAGGUAUAUUAAUGGUGUAUAUUAAUUUAUAAUAAAAAAAUAUAUAGUUAUUAUAUUAUUCCACUUUAAUUGUUUAUAAAUAUUAAUUAGAUGUAGCUAAGCUUUGUAUGUUUGUAAUAGUGUUAGUAUUAGUAUAUUACGCUGGGUUUAUUUAAGGAACUCGGCAAAAAUGUUUCUCAACUGUUUAUCAAAAACAUAACUAUGUGUAACUAUACAUAGCUUUUUCUGCUCAAUGAUUAUAUUAAAUAGCCGCAGUA